GACGAACGCUGGCGGCGUGCCUAACACAUGCAAGUCGAACGGGGUUGAUCCUUCGGGAUUAACUUAGUGGCGAACGGGUGAGUAACGCGUGAGAAACCUGCCUUUCAGUGGGGGACAACAGUUGGAAACGACUGCUAAUACCGCAUAAUGUUAUUUGGGGGCAUCCCUGAAUAACCAAAGCUUUAUGUGCUGAAAGAUGGUCUCGCGUCUGAUUAGCUAGAUGGCGGGGUAACGGCCCACCAUGGCGACGAUCAGUAGCCGGUCUGAGAGGAUGAACGGCCACAUUGGGACUGAGAUACGGCCCAGACUCCUACGGGAGGCAGCAGUGGGGAAUAUUGGGCAAUGGGGGAAACCCUGACCCAGCAACGCCGCGUGAAGGAAGAAGGCCUUCGGGUUGUAAACUUCUUUACCUAGGGACGAAGAACGUGACGGUACCUGGAGAAAAAGCAAACGGCUAACUACGUG
RNAcentral lists this ribosomal RNA (465 nucleotides) under uncultured bacterium. Its description in RNAcentral is "bacterial SSU rRNA". It matches the Rfam family "Bacterial small subunit ribosomal RNA", at positions 28 to 507 of the family's 1533-position model. The record is from RNAcentral.